RNAcentral lists this non-coding RNA (937 nucleotides) under Caenorhabditis japonica. RNAcentral describes it as "Eukaryotic small subunit ribosomal RNA". It matches the Rfam family "Eukaryotic small subunit ribosomal RNA", at positions 863 to 1831 of the family's 1831-position model. The record is from Rfam by way of RNAcentral. Lineage: Eukaryota; Metazoa; Nematoda; Chromadorea; Rhabditida; Rhabditidae.
UAAUGGUUAAGAGGGACAAACCGGGGGCAUUCGUAUCAUUACGCGAGAGGUGAAAUUCGUGGACCGUAGUGAGACGCCCAAUAGCGAAAGCAUUUGCCAAGAAUGUCUUCAUUAAUCAAGAACGAAAGUCAGAGGUUCGAAGGCGAUUAGAUACCGCCCUAGUUCUGACCGUAAACGAUGCCAUCUCGCGAUUCGGAGGGUUCAUGCCCUACCGAGGAGCUACCCGGAAACGAAAGUCUUUCGGUUCCGGGGGUAGUAUGGUUGCAAAGCUGAAACUUAAAGAAAUUGACGGAAGGGCACCACAAGGCGUGGAGCUUGCGGCUUAAUUUGACUCAACACGGGAAAACUCACCCGGUCCGGACACUAUUAGGACUGACAGAUUGAAAGCUCUUUCUCGAUUUGGUGGUUGGUGGUGCAUGGCCGUUCUUAGUUGGUGGAGUGAUUUGUCUGGUUUAUUCCGAUAACGAGCGAGACUCUAGCCUGCUAAAUAGUCGACGAAUCUUCGGGUUCGUAUAACUUCUUAGAGGGAUAAGCGGUGUUUAGCCGCACGAGAUUGAGCGAUAACAGGUCUGUGAUGCCCUUAGAUGUCCGGGGCUGCACGCGUGCUACACUGGUGGAGUCAGCGGGUUUUUCCUAUGCCGAAAGGUAUCGGUAAACCGUUGAACUUCUUCCAUGUCCGGGAUAGGGUAUUGUAAUUAUUACCCUUAAACGAGGAAUGCCUAGUAAGUGUGAGUCAUCAGCUCACGUUGAUUACGUCCCUGCCCUUUGUACACACCGCCCGUCGCUAUCCGGGACUGAACUGAUUCGAGAAGAGUGGGGACUGUGGCUGCGAGGUUUUACCACUUCGCAGUUGCGGAAACCAUUUUUAUCGCAUUGGUUUGAACCGGGUAAAAGUCGUAACAAGGUAGCUGUAGGUGAACCUGCAGCUGGAUCAUCG